Molecule: ribosomal RNA, 253 nt
Filed under: uncultured bacterium
Lineage: Bacteria
Description: partial 16S ribosomal RNA
Rfam family: Bacterial small subunit ribosomal RNA
Source: RNAcentral
UACGUAGGGUGCGAGCGUUGUCCGGAAUUAUUGGGCGUAAAGGGUGCGUAGGCGGCUUCCUAAGUUUGAUGUGAAAUCCUGGGGCUCAACCCUGGAACUGCAUUGAAUACUGGGAGGCUAGAGUACUGGAGAGGAAACUGGAAUUUACGGUGUAGCAGUGAAAUGCGUAGAGAUCGUAAGGAAGACCAGUGGCGAAGGCGAGUUUCUGGACAGUUACUGACGCUGAGGCACGAAGGUCAGGGGAGCAAACGGG